Molecule: ribosomal RNA, 351 nt
Filed under: uncultured bacterium
Lineage: Bacteria
Description: partial 16S ribosomal RNA
Rfam family: Bacterial small subunit ribosomal RNA
Source: RNAcentral
UGGGGAAUAUUGCACAAUGGGCGCAAGCCUGAUGCAGCCAUGCCGCGUGUGUGAAGAAGGCCUUCGGGUUGUAAAGCACUUUCAGCGAGGAGGAAGGCGUUAAGGUUAAUAACCUUAGCGAUUGACGUUACUCGCAGAAGAAGCACCGGCUAACUCCGUGCCAGCAGCCGCGGUAAUACGGAGGGUGCAAGCGUUAAUCGGAAUUACUGGGCGUAAAGCGCACGCAGGCGGUUUGUUAAGUCAGAUGUGAAAUCCCCGAGCUUAACUUGGGAACUGCAUUUGAAACUGGCAAGCUAGAGUCUUGUAGAGGGGGGUAGAAUUCCAGGUGUAGCGGUGGAAAUGCGUAGAGAU